GUCUGGACUUCAUCUUGAUGGUACAGCUCUGUCCCACCAUGUUCCUGUCAUUGUACUGCCAUCUGCCAUGAGGACUUCACCAGAGCUGAGCUGCUGCCAGAACCAUGCAUGCCCUUGAACUCCUCAAAUUUCCCACAGGAGAUUUUGAGACAGACACAUUCAAAUUUGAGAAUUAAUAUACUGCCCCCUGUACUUUAUCCUGCUCU
Non-coding RNA from Castor canadensis (American beaver), 206 nucleotides. Lineage: Eukaryota; Metazoa; Chordata; Mammalia; Rodentia; Castoridae. The record is from RefSeq and is a predicted model, not a curated record.